UCAUUCCAAAAAAAUGUUGUACCUCCUCCAUACUUCCAUAACUGUUUUUUUAUAAUAACCAGAAUUUCACAUUAACUAAGUCAUGGAUUAGGGUUCCGCUAUCACUUGUCGAAGCACGAUGCAACUGAAUCCAAAUGAAAUCCAUUGUAGCCGUUAAUAGAAAUGUUCAAAAAUAUCUGAAACUAGAAUGUAACGUGAAAUCUUUUUUAAAACGUUGUUAUGGAGGGCGGAAAAAGAAAAAAAAAGCAUACCGGGCUAAGAUAAAACCAUUCUAUCUUUCAUUAUCUUUUACAGAGUAUUCUUCCUCUUCAGUUAACAUUUCCUUUUGUUUCCUUUUCUUUCUCUUUGUUAUAUUUUUUUCAAUGUUUUUAGUUGGAGCUUUCUAGGUUUAUUCAUCUUUUUGUUUGUUUUAUUUUUUUGGUUGGGAUUUUUCAUCUUUCUGGUAAGGGUUUUGUACAGCGUGCACGCAGGUCUGUAUUUCUACUGUUUCCCUUUUUUUUUUUUGGGUUGGUUUCUCUGUGAUUUUUCCUUUUUUUUUGGUUGGUUUCUGUGUUUUACAUAGGAACAAGCCGAGCAGAGGAAGGGGCAGAGGAAAAGGAAGAGGCAGGGCAAAAUAAAGUGACAACUGAUAGAGGCAAAAUACUUGUGCUAGAGAAUGGAUUUGUGCAUGAAUAUUUGGCAAGUGAGGAAGGAUGGAGGAGUUGUGCUACAAGCUGAUUUUGCUAUUUUGAAUUGAAUGAUAAAACCACCGAGGAGGGAUGGAGGGAGUAAGAGAUAUUAAAGGGGACAUUCUCACCUGCUUGAAAUUGAAGGCUCUAUGCGUAGUCUACAUUCAGGUGCAACACAUAUUCUCGAUGGCGAAUGUUUGGGAUAACUCAACCAAUUUGUUGCUACCUACUUCUUGGUGGACAUGGGUUGAUGAGAAUUCACAUGUCAUUCAUGAUGUCAAUGGGGUUUUCAAAUUAAAUGUAAAGGUGCUAGAAGGUCAUCAAUCAAAUAUCUUGGCAUGGUGCAUGCUCUAUACAACUCGAUAUACAUUAUAUUGGCAUUAUUUAAAAUCAAGGCAAUGCCCUCUAUGACAUUGAAAGAGACCAAUUAGGUUGUCCCAUUACAAGUUGAUUGUUGAUGUUAAUUGUCUAGCCCUCUGUUGCAUCAUUAAUUUGUAUCCUCUUUCAACUUUGCUUAAUAAUAAAUAAAUUGACAAGUUGCAAAAGCUUCCU
Molecule: long non-coding RNA, 1220 nt
Organism: Cryptomeria japonica (Japanese cedar)
Lineage: Eukaryota; Viridiplantae; Streptophyta; Pinopsida; Cupressales; Cupressaceae
Exons: 4
Source: RefSeq, a predicted model, not a curated record